GAUGAACGACUGGCGGCGUGCCUAACACAUGCAAGUCGAACGAAGUUACUAAAAGGAAUUUUCGGAUGGAAUUUUGGUAUACUUAGUGGCGGACGGGUGAGUAACGCGUGAGCAACCUGCCUUUCAGAGGGGGACAACAGUUGGAAACGACUGCUAAUACCGCAUAACAUAUGACCAAGGCAUCUUGGACAUAUCAAAGGAGCAAUCCGCUGAAAGAUGGGCUCGCGUUGGAUUAGAUAGUUGGUGGGGUAACGGCCUACCAAGUCAACGAUCCAUAGCCGGACUGAGAGGUUGAACGGCCACAUUGGGACUGAGACACGGCCCAG
Molecule: ribosomal RNA, 326 nt
Filed under: uncultured bacterium
Lineage: Bacteria
Description: bacterial SSU rRNA
Rfam family: Bacterial small subunit ribosomal RNA
Source: RNAcentral